Molecule: ribosomal RNA, 492 nt
Filed under: Streptococcus mutans
Lineage: Bacteria; Bacillati; Bacillota; Bacilli; Lactobacillales; Streptococcaceae
Description: bacterial SSU rRNA
Rfam family: Bacterial small subunit ribosomal RNA
Source: RNAcentral
GACGAACGCUGGCGGCGUGCCUAAUACAUGCAAGUGGGACGCAAGGGAACACACUGUGCUUGCACACCGUGUUUUCUUGAGUCGCGAACGGGUGAGUAACGCGUAGGUAACCUGCCUAUUAGCGGGGGAUAACUAUUGGAAACGAUAGCUAAUACCGCAUAAUAUUAAUUAUUGCAUGAUAAUUGAUUGAAAGAUGCAAGCGCAUCACUAGUAGAUGGACCUGCGUUGUAUUAGCUAGUUGGUAAGGUAAGAGCUUACCAAGGCGACGAUACAUAGCCGACCUGAGAGGGUGAUCGGCCACACUGGGACUGAGACACGGCCCAGACUCCUACGGGAGGCAGCAGUAGGGAAUCUUCGGCAAUGGACGAAAGUCUGACCGAGCAACGCCGCGUGAGUGAAUGAAGGUUUCGGAUCUGUAAAGCUCUGUUGUAAGUCAAGAACGUGUGUGAGAGUGGAAAGUUCACACAGUGACGGUAGCUUACCAGAAAGGCG